CCCUACGGGACGCAGCAGUGAGGAAUACUGGUCAAUGGGCGCGAGCCUGAACCAGCCAAGUCGCGUGAGGGAAGACGGUCCUAUGGAUUGUAAACCUCUUUUGUCGGGGAGCAAAAGACGCCACGUGUGGCGUUCCGAGAGCACCCGAAGAAAAAGCAUCGGCUAACUCCGUGCCAGCAGCCGCGGUAAUACGGAGGAUGCGAGCGUUAUCCGGAUUUAUUGGGUUUAAAGGGUGCGCAGGCGGAAGAUCAAGUCAGCGGUAAAAUUGAGAGGCUCAACCUCUUCGAGCCGUUGAAACUGGUUUU
This 305-nucleotide ribosomal RNA is filed under the name uncultured bacterium. RNAcentral describes it as "bacterial SSU rRNA". It matches the Rfam family "Bacterial small subunit ribosomal RNA", at positions 337 to 640 of the family's 1533-position model. The record is from RNAcentral.